RNAcentral lists this transfer RNA (77 nucleotides) under Vibrio parahaemolyticus. RNAcentral's name for it is "tRNA-Met". It matches the Rfam family "tRNA". From Rfam's summary of the family: Transfer RNA (tRNA) molecules are approximately 80 nucleotides in length. Their secondary structure includes four short double-helical elements and three loops (D, anti-codon, and T loops). Lineage: Bacteria; Pseudomonadati; Pseudomonadota; Gammaproteobacteria; Vibrionales; Vibrionaceae. The record is from RNAcentral.
GGCUACGUAGCUCAGCUGGUUAAGGCACAUCACUCAUAAUGAUGGGGUCACAGGUUCGAAUCCCUCCGGAGCAACCA